GGGCGCGUAGCUCAACGGUAGAGCAUCUGUCUUAUACACAGAUGGUUCUAGGUUCGAAUCCUAGCGCGCCCA
This 72-nucleotide transfer RNA is filed under the name Candidatus Doudnabacteria bacterium RIFCSPHIGHO2_01_FULL_50_11. Its description in RNAcentral is "tRNA-Ile". It matches the Rfam family "tRNA". From Rfam's summary of the family: Transfer RNA (tRNA) molecules are approximately 80 nucleotides in length. Their secondary structure includes four short double-helical elements and three loops (D, anti-codon, and T loops). The record is from RNAcentral. Lineage: Bacteria; Candidatus Doudnaibacteriota. RNAcentral also lists the same sequence under 2 other names.